Myotis davidii is the source of this 74-nucleotide non-coding RNA. The record is from Rfam. Lineage: Eukaryota; Metazoa; Chordata; Mammalia; Chiroptera; Vespertilionidae.
GGUGGUUCUUGGUGAUGCACCCUGGAAUCGGGCUCCCUCCUCUCUGGCUCCAGGUGCGACACCUGAGAACCGCA